UACGGAGGGUGCGAGCGUUAAUCGGAAUAACUGGGCGUAAAGGGCACGCAGGCGGUGACUUAAGUGAGGUGUGAAAGCCCCGGGCUUAACCUGGGAAUUGCAUUUCAUACUGGGUCGCUAGAGUACUUUAGGGAGGGGUAGAAUUCCACGUGUAGCGGUGAAAUGCGUAGAGAUGUGGAGGAAUACCGAAGGCGAAGGCAGCCCCUUGGGAAUGUACUGACGCUCAUGUGCGAGAGCGUGGGGAGCAAACAGGAUUAGAUACCUGGUAGUCAAGGGCGAAUUCG
This 284-nucleotide ribosomal RNA is filed under the name uncultured Pasteurellales bacterium. RNAcentral describes it as "partial 16S ribosomal RNA". It matches the Rfam family "Bacterial small subunit ribosomal RNA", at positions 524 to 808 of the family's 1533-position model. The record is from RNAcentral. Lineage: Bacteria; Pseudomonadati; Pseudomonadota; Gammaproteobacteria; Pasteurellales.